RNAcentral lists this ribosomal RNA (1096 nucleotides) under Latilactobacillus sakei. RNAcentral describes it as "bacterial SSU rRNA". It matches the Rfam family "Bacterial small subunit ribosomal RNA", at positions 36 to 1092 of the family's 1533-position model. Lineage: Bacteria; Bacillati; Bacillota; Bacilli; Lactobacillales; Lactobacillaceae. The record is from RNAcentral.
CCGGCGGGGGCCUAUACAUGCAAGUCGAACGCACUCUCGUUUAGAUUGAAGGAGCUUGCUCCUGAUUGAUAAACAUUUGAGUGAGUGGCGGACGGGUGAGUAACACGUGGGUAACCUGCCCUAAAGUGGGGGAUAACAUUUGGAAACAGAUGCUAAUACCGCAUAAAACCUAACACCGCAUGGUGUAGGGUUGAAAGAUGGUUUCGGCUAUCACUUUAGGAUGGACCCGCGGUGCAUUAGUUAGUUGGUGAGGUAAAGGCUCACCAAGACCGUGAUGCAUAGCCGACCUGAGAGGGUAAUCGGCCACACUGGGACUGAGACACGGCCCAGACUCCUACGGGAGGCAGCAGUAGGGAAUCUUCCACAAUGGACGAAAGUCUGAUGGAGCAACGCCGCGUGAGUGAAGAAGGUUUUCGGAUCGUAAAACUCUGUUGUUGGAGAAGAAUGUAUCUGAUAGUAACUGAUCAGGUAGUGACGGUAUCCAACCAGAAAGCCACGGCUAACUACGUGCCAGCAGCCGCGGUAAUACGUAGGUGGCAAGCGUUGUCCGGAUUUAUUGGGCGUAAAGCGAGCGCAGGCGGUUUCUUAAGUCUGAUGUGAAAGCCUUCGGCUCAACCGAAGAAGUGCAUCGGAAACUGGGAAACUUGAGUGCAGAAGAGGACAGUGGAACUCCAUGUGUAGCGGUGAAAUGCGUAGAUAUAUGGAAGAACACCAGUGGCGAAGGCGGCUGUCUGGUCUGUAACUGACGCUGAGGCUCGAAAGCAUGGGUAGCAAACAGGAUUAGAUACCCUGGUAGUCCAUGCCGUAAACGAUGAGUGCUAGGUGUUGGAGGGUUUCCGCCCUUCAGUGCCGCAGCUAACGCAUUAAGCACUCCGCCUGGGGAGUACGACCGCAAGGUUGAAACUCAAAGGAAUUGACGGGGGCCCGCACAAGCGGUGGAGCAUGUGGUUUAAUUCGAAGCAACGCGAAGAACCUUACCAGGUCUUGAAAUCCUUUGACCACUCUAGAAAUAGAGCUUUCCCUUCGGGGAAAAAGUGAAAGGGGGUGCAUGGUUGUCGUCACCUCCGUCCUGGAAAUGUUGGGUUAAGUCCGCCAC